CAAUAUUAAUUGAAACAAUGGAAAUUUAGUGGUUACAUGUCACCUGAGUAUGCCCUGGAAGGCCUGUACUCCAUCAAAUCAGACGUGUUUAGUUUUGGAGUAUUAAUGUUGGAAACAUUGAGUAGCAAGAAGAACACUGGCGUCUACAAUAGUGAUUCCUCUAACCUUCUUGGAUAUGUAAGUGACAAAUUAUUUCACUUAUGUUCCAUCUUUAAUGUGUAAAAUAUAAAUUGGAAAUGUCAAAAAUUGCUUCUGUAAAUUAAACUAAUAUUGAUCGUGGACAUUUCUUUUCAGGCUUGGGGCUUCUGGAAAGAUGACAGAGCUCAUGAAUUGAUGGAUCCAGUAAUAGGCUUAAGUUAUUAAGUUAUUUGGCUCAGCUUGAUAACAUGUUUAUUUGUAAUUCGUUCGAUUUCUUUGAUAACAUGUAUGUUUCUGGAUGUAGGAAACAAGAAGCUACUCUGGAUAAUUGUAAUACUUGUUCUUCCUUUGGUACUUCUUCCUUCUUUUUACAUAUUUCGGCGAAGGAGGAGAAAACACAAAGAGAAAGGUAAAUUUUUUCCCUUCAUAUCACUCAAAUGAUAUUUUCAUGUGAUAAGGCAUGUGAUAAACCAUGUAUACUUACAAUUUUAAAAGUUGUUGUCUUACCGAAACAGAGAAUAUGGAGACAAACCAGGAUCUGUUAGCAUUUGACAUAAAUAUGAGCAUUACAACAAGAACAAAUGAACUCUGUGAAGCAGAUGGAGAAGGAAAUGAUAAGAGCAAGGAUUCUUGGUUGCCAUUAUUCAGCUUGGCCAGUGUAUCUGCUGCUACAGAAAACUUUUCUACGCAAUGUAAGCUUGGAGAAGGUGGCUUUGGCCCUGUUUACAAGGUAGAAUUGUUGCUACCUCAAAUGUCCUUAAUGAAGUGCUGCUGCUGUAAAACAUUAACAAAAUAAAAAAAUGCAGGGUCGACUACUUAAUGGACAAGAAGUUGCAGUAAAAAGGCUCUCGAGUCAGUCAGGGCAAGGACUCAAAGAGUUUAAAAAUGAGAUGAUGCUUAUAGCAAAACUCCAACACAGACACCUUGUCAGACUCUUCGGUUGCUGUGUAGAACAAGGCGAAAACAUUUUAAUCUAUGAGUACAUGCCUAACAAAAGCUUGGAUGUUUUCCUUUUCAGUAUGUGAUUUAUCAUUCACAAGAUUAAGUAUUUCCACUACUUUGCAGUGCUCUGUCGAAUUUUAUCAUCUCCAUUUUUUUAACUUGUUAUCAUUUACGCUGAUCAGUAUUCAUUUUGGCAUUGCAACAGAUCCAAAGAAAAAGCGCCUGCUAGGUUGGCAAGCACGUGUUAGAAUUAUUGAAGGAAUUGCCCAAGGACUAUUAUAUCUUCAUCGGUAUUCUAGACUGAGAAUUAUUCACAGAGAUCUUAAGGCAAGUAAUAUUCUCUUAGAUAGUGACAUGAACCCCAAAAUAUCAGAUUUUGGCAUGGCAAGAAUAUCUGGUGAUGAUGAGUUGCAGGGAAAUACUAAACGGAUUGCUGGAACUUAGUAAGUAAAACUCCAUUCCUGAAAAUGAUGUUUGCUUGUCCUGUUUUCUUAGAUCACUCAAUAUUAAUUGAAACAAUGGAAAUUUAGUGGUUACAUGUCACCUGAGUAUGCCCUAGAAGGCCUGUACUCCAUUAAAUCAGAUGUGUUUAGCUUUGGAGUAUUAAUGUUGGAAACAUUGAGUAGCAAGAAGAACACUGGCGUCUACAAUAGUGAUUCCUUUAACCUUCUUGGAUAUGUAAGUGACAAAUUAUUUCACCAUUGUUCCAUCUUUAAUGAGUAAAAUAUAAAUUGGAAAUGUCAAAAAUUGCUCCUGUAAAUUAAACUAAUAUUGAUCAUGGACAUUUCUUUUCAGGC
RNAcentral lists this long non-coding RNA (1877 nucleotides) under Citrus sinensis (sweet orange). Its description in RNAcentral is "long non-coding RNA (CSIN_LNC001681)". The record is from RNAcentral. Lineage: Eukaryota; Viridiplantae; Streptophyta; Magnoliopsida; Sapindales; Rutaceae.